Long non-coding RNA from Medicago truncatula (barrel medic), 500 nucleotides. RefSeq lists it as uncharacterized. The record is from RefSeq and is a predicted model, not a curated record. Lineage: Eukaryota; Viridiplantae; Streptophyta; Magnoliopsida; Fabales; Fabaceae. The transcript is spliced from 3 exons.
AAAAAAAUGAUUGAAAUUAUUAAGUUUGUUUAUAUUAUGAUCUUCUUUAUUUCCAUUUUUUUUGUUGUAAGUGAAAGCUUAUUUAUUCCCGAAUGUAAUCGCACUGAAGAUUGUCCAAAUGUGUGUCUCUAUCCUAAAGUUAGUCUUUGCAUUUGGUGGUACUGUACUUGCGUAACAGCAUAGAAGUGUACGAUUGGGGCACCUUCAUUCUUCAUCUUCUCGAUCGAAUCCAUCCUUUGUUCUUUUUUCCAUUUCAUUUUCUACUAUAUUUGAAGAUAUUACUUGGUCAUAUUGAAUCAACUCAUCCAUAUCACUCACAUUAUGCAAAUGUUGUUGCCUUUGUUUCCUAUUAGGGAAUAAAGAAUGUCACAACAUAAUUAUAAUUGGCUACUUUGAUAAAGAAAUGUAACAUGAUUAUGUAAAGUGUAGUAGAUAAUAUAGACUAUAUGAUUACGUAAACUAAUUAUUUUUUAUACUUAAUGAUGUGCGAUAUAAACUAA